Drosophila yakuba is the source of this 558-nucleotide long non-coding RNA. RefSeq lists it as uncharacterized. The record is from RefSeq and is a predicted model, not a curated record. NCBI's taxonomy places the organism in Eukaryota, Metazoa, Arthropoda, Insecta, Diptera, Drosophilidae. The transcript has 2 exons.
GUGGAAAAGUUUUCGGAUUUCCGAUUUAAGCAGACCUUAUCCAUGCCCGUAUAGCACUUGAAGUUCACAUUAAUUCAAUAAGGAGUUACCAGGUUCUUCUACAACGAAACAAAAACGAACCAUGUCAAAUGCUGACUGGAGAGUGGACAGACUGGAAAACAGCGCAUCGCAGUCUAUUUGCGUCUAAUGCAAUUUUCUGGACGAGAAGCGGAACACUAAGCCGAUGGCUGUGGAAAUCCUUCUCCACUUCACUCUGAAAAUCCACUUAAAAGCUCCAAAGCCGCUAUUAAAGUGGUUGGCAGCCAACUUGGCCAUAUUCUCUAGCGUUUCCACACUCCAGGAUCCGGUGAUAUGGUCGCGAAAGUUAAUAAAAUUAGCGCUGGCUGUUUUCAUAUUUUAUGACUUUGUGCCAUAAUUAAAAUGCAAAUGUGUUUGAUUACAAGCCGCGAAGUGAAGUUGCAGGGGAGGAUUCUGAAAGGGACGGCUUCAUUUUCAAUUACUUUGCCCAACGUGUGCCUGGACAAAAACAAAAUCCGAAAUUUACCCAAAACUUAAAAA